GAUCUCCGAGUUGAGAGAGC
This 20-nucleotide small nuclear RNA is filed under the name Arabidopsis thaliana (thale cress). RNAcentral's name for it is "snRNA_00760". Lineage: Eukaryota; Viridiplantae; Streptophyta; Magnoliopsida; Brassicales; Brassicaceae. The record is from RNAcentral.